AUUGAACGCUGGCGGCAGGCCUAACACAUGCAAGUCGAGCGGUAGAGAGGUGCUUGCAUCUCUUGAGAGCGGCGGACGGGUGAGUAAUGCCUAGGAAUCUGCCUAGUGGUGGGGGAUAACGUUCGGAAACGGACGCUAAUACCGCAUACGUCCUACGGGAGAAAGCGGGGGAUCUUCGGACCUCGCGCCAUUAGAUGAGCCUAGGUCGGAUUAGCUAGUUGGUGAGGUAAUGGCUCACCAAGGCGACGAUCCGUAACUGGUCUGAGAGGAUGAUCAGUCACACUGGAACUGAGACACGGUCCAGACUCCUACGGGAGGCAGCAGUGGGGGAAUAUUGGACAAUGGGCGAAAGACCUGAUCCAGCCAUGCCGCGUGUGUGAAGAAGGUACUUCGGAUUGUAAAGCACUUUAAGUUUGGGAGGGAAGUGCGAUCAGGUGGAACAAUACUGGUCGUUUG
RNAcentral lists this ribosomal RNA (456 nucleotides) under uncultured bacterium. Its description in RNAcentral is "bacterial SSU rRNA". It matches the Rfam family "Bacterial small subunit ribosomal RNA", at positions 30 to 471 of the family's 1533-position model. The record is from RNAcentral.